This 224-nucleotide long non-coding RNA is filed under the name Elaeis guineensis (African oil palm). RNAcentral describes it as "long non-coding RNA (EGUI_LNC020552)". The record is from RNAcentral. Lineage: Eukaryota; Viridiplantae; Streptophyta; Magnoliopsida; Arecales; Arecaceae.
UUGGGUGCCAAGGGCCUGUGAUGGCCUUCUUCCUUUUUUGUGCCACCCACUACACCGACUCAAGUUUCUUGAUUCUCAUUCCUGAAAAAGGUAAUCCAAAGUGAAAGGAUUAGAGUCCCGCAAAGCCAAGUGAGACCGAAAUGAAUAACUACACCAGCAUACUAGAGGGUUUGGUGGGGCUCAAGCCAAUAUUGUAGAGCAUCAACUCAAAAAAGAGCUCCCAU